RNAcentral lists this ribosomal RNA (1972 nucleotides) under Triticum aestivum (bread wheat). RNAcentral describes it as "partial small subunit ribosomal RNA". Lineage: Eukaryota; Viridiplantae; Streptophyta; Magnoliopsida; Poales; Poaceae. The record is from RNAcentral.
GUAUCGUCCCCGCCGCCAGACAUCCACCGGUCGCCUCCCACCUUGGGAUCCUCCUAGAUCCGAUCGAACCAACCACCUUCAACCAUCUCCUUCUCCUCGAAUUCAUCCAUCGGCCAAUCCCCACCGAUCUAUCCACCCACCAAUCUGCUCAUGCUAGAGCACCUCCGCGGAGCCGAGGAGCUCCACGCCUUGCCUCCGCCGCCUUCAUCGUUCUGCGCUGCCAUCACCCUGUGUCUCCGAGCACCCCGUCGCCGGAGUAGCUCGAUCCCGACCACCUCGCCGGAGCUCCUCUCCAGCACGCCGGCCACCCCGACCAUGCCCGGCCUCCCCGCUCGCCCUCCUCUCGUGUGGAUCGAGCAACAGUUCUUCCCGAGCGGAGCGCUCGUUUCAGCCGUCGACCGCGAGCCGCGGGUUACCGGAGCAGCUCCAAGCAGCGUACCCUGGCGCCCUACUCCAGACCUCGACCUCAGGUGGAGUCCAUGGCCGCUCGAACCUGAAGCUUCGUCGUCACCUCGUUCCACACCCCGCCUUCGGCUAGAAUGGACGUCCCCGCUCGGAUCCACCGCCUGCGGCCGUCCUAGACCUCAAGCCGGCUGGAUCCCGCGUCGUCCCGGCCCGGCACCGCCCUUGCCCGAUCCCGGCGUCAGCCUGAACCUGCCGCUGUCGUUCUGCUUCAGAGACGAGCAGAUUGCCUCGGCCGCUCGCGCUGAUCGGUUCCAGAUCGACCACACGCGCCUGGGCCGGCCUCCUUCCUCUCCAGCUGGGCCAAAGCCCAUGGUGAGGCCACCCCGCCGAAGCCCCUCUGUUUUUUUCUGUUGUUGGGUCAACAGAUUCGGCCCGAGAUGCCUUUUUUUUCCUGCUGAGAAUUUUAGCUAAUUUCCAGAAAACUGCUGUUUUACAGAAAUGCCCCUCUAGAUCAUGCAUAUAAUAACUCAUAAACCGUGCAUCGGAUUAAAAUGAAUUAUAUAUGAAACUUGCUUAGAAUUUUUUCUAGUUUAAUAAUUUGCAAUUUUCAUCCAUGUUUAAAAUGUUUGAAAUGAUGUUUGGUUAAAUUUGUCCCUAUGCCAUGCUAAAAUGAUUUAAUUCAUAACUUUUCAACCGUAGCUCCGAAUUAAAUAAUCUUUAUAUGUAAAUGGGGUAGAAAAAUGCCUAGUUUUACUUGGUGGCAUCAUCUUGCAUGUUUAAUAACUAUAAAAUAUGGUUUAGGGCAGAAUAGGACCAAACCUAAUAUAUGCACAUGAGGAGUUUCCGAACUUGUUGUUUUGUGGUUCCGGCCUCAUUUAAACUUGCCUAGUUAGAUAGUUUCAUUAUGUUUCACCUCUUGCCAUGUUAAUCAACAUUUAAUAUUGGUGAGUACAUAACCGAGAGGGAACUAAAUAAUUGAUGUGGUGUUCCGUCAAUAUGCAACUCGUUGUAUAUUGAGCUCCACUUAAUUUGUAGGAUUGCUUGUGCACUUUGCCAUGCCAUGCCUCAUUAACCGGACAUGCAUCAUACUUGAUUGUGCAUCAUGCCAUGUUUAUGUGGUGGUUGUUUUACUAUGAUUGUUUGCUUCUUUCCGGUGUUGCUUCUUCGGGUUGGUUCCGAUAACAUUGCGUUUGUGAGGAUCCGUUCGACUACAUCCGUUUGUCUUCUUCAUCGACUCGUUCUUCUUCCUUGCGGGAUUUCAGCUUGCAGGUGCCGAUGAGACCGUGAAGAUGACGCAACCCAGCUCAGGAGGAGCUCGAUGAAGAUCUUGUCCUUUGUGUUGUUUCGUUCUAUGUGAUCAGUAGUGGAGCCCAGUUGGGGUCGAUCGAGGACCGUGUCGCAUUUGGGGUUCUUCUUUUAUUUUGGUUCCGUAGUCGGACCUUGUUUGUAUCUGGAUGAUGUAAUGUUUUAUUCAUGUAUUGUGUGAAGUGGCGAUUGUAAGCCAACUAUGUAUCUCUUUUCCCUUAUGUAUUACAUGGGUUUGUGUGAAGAUUACCUCACUUGCGAC